UUUGGACCCCCACAAAGAGCCCAGGAGACAUUCCGGUCACUGAAAAAUGGUGCCGUUGACGCGAGCUGCGGGUGACUGAUUUGGGUGCGUCACUGGGGCAUCAUGUUUUGGGGUAUUUUAUGGCAUUCAGAUUAAAAUGUUAACGUUUUUUUAUUUAUUCGGGGAGUUGCUGCUGCUGAUGAGCACUACCGGUUGGUAGGCAUUUUUCCUUUCCCAGCUUGGGAAGUGGGAUGUCAUUCGACGCCGCUUUAUAACAAAUUUUGAAGCUUGAAAGAAGAAAUUGCAUGAUCUCGUUCCCCUCCGCCUCGCGAUUCAACCUUGUUCGAUCUUUAUCCACCUUCAAGGUACGCAUGUUACCCCUCUUUUUUCUCUCUUUCUUUGUUGUCUUGGACUUCGAUUUGGAGCGUUCUUCGUUUUUUCUCUUGUAUUCUAAGGAGCGGCCAGUUUGGUUUUGGGCCUUUUGGCUGGAAAAACCUAGUUAUGUUAGACCGGUCAUGCAUGCCCGAUCUUUAUCUCUCCUCCUUGCGGGAUGGCAAAACUAAGACUCUG
This 549-nucleotide long non-coding RNA is filed under the name Phoenix dactylifera (date palm). Its description in RNAcentral is "long non-coding RNA (PDAC_LNC012335)". The record is from RNAcentral. Lineage: Eukaryota; Viridiplantae; Streptophyta; Magnoliopsida; Arecales; Arecaceae.